CUAUGCGCCUUGCCAGCCCGCUCAGGUGUGCCAGCCGCCGCGGUAAUACGGAGGAUGCGAGCGUUAUCCGGAUUUAUUGGGUUUAAAGGGUGCGUAGGCGGCCUAUUAAGUCAGGGGUGAAAUACGGUGGCUCAACCAUCGCAGUGCCUUUGAUACUGAUGGGCUUGAAUCCAUUUGAAGUGGGCGGAAUAAGACAAGUAGCGGUGAAAUGCAUAGAUAUGUCUUAGAACUCCGAUUGCGAAGGCAGCUCACUAAGCUGGUAUUGACGCUGAUGCACGAAAGCGUGGGGAUCGAACAGG
This 299-nucleotide ribosomal RNA is filed under the name uncultured bacterium. Its description in RNAcentral is "partial 16S ribosomal RNA". It matches the Rfam family "Bacterial small subunit ribosomal RNA", at positions 475 to 776 of the family's 1533-position model. The record is from RNAcentral.